UCGAGCGGUGUCAUUGGGUUAUCGACGACUAUCAAAGUUUCAAGUGGCUUAACAACACCGUGCGAGCGUUUAGUAAUCGGGAAGGAUGCGCUGCUUCAACACGACCGUCGCUCUGGUGCUGAUCCUUUUCGUGAGCCUCGGUUGGGGUUGGUCCUUCACGAACGUGGCGAUGACCAUCGACGAGUUGAUGCGACCGCGAAACGAGGACUCGCGAGUUUUGAAUUUCAACGAGAGCAACACCGUCCCAGCCAACAAGGACGCGGACGUCACGAUGCUUGGCAGAAUAAUAGUGGUUCCACGAAGGAAAAACGGUCACUGUAAACCGGGCGAACAGGUCGAUCGGCGUGGCAAGUGCAGGACGGUGUGGUGAGCGAGUUCGCCGGAUAAAUAAGGGGGCAAGAAUCUCCGUAGAUAGUCGACAACGUAGCCACUCGUCAUCAAGGGGACACUUCCGAGAGGGAAACGGGAAAGAGAAGACCAUACCAAACUCCAGCAUAAUUCGAGAUGCGUGCACCGGAGACCUAUAUAGGGGAUAUCGGACUCUGCAAGGAAAAAAAUGAUUAAUCUCAUCAAAUUGUAAUUGCUCUCGGCGUCAAUCAUACUUUUUGUUAUUCAGACGAGAAAGCAGUAACACCGAUACACAUAUAAUGUUAUUGUAGUUAAGACCAUGGGAUAAUAUGUAGUACUAUAGUAAGGUUUCCUACACAAAAAUACUUUUUCCGAUUAUAAUUAUUUCGCGAUGCAAUUACAGCCACAAGUGGCAGAAAAUACUUCUCAGACCGAUCGAGAUACUGAGAGGUCGCAUAUCCGAGUCGCGAUGAGAAAAAUCCGCAAUCUCUGGUUUACUCGUUUAAUCAGCAAACGGAUAUUGAUUUUACAUCGAGCGUAUAUAAUUAGCGAUAUGAAUUGCAGGAGUAUUAAGUGCACGCUCGAUAUUAGAAUAAAAGGAGACUAAUGGGAAAACAAUUAGUCUACGCAACAAGUUGAAUCGAUCGAAUACGUCGAUCAUGGCUGCGUAAAUGAAUAAAUGCGCACGAUACCGGCAUAAUUAUCAUAUUAUUAGACUCACUCGGAGGCAUAAUGAUAGAAACAUGUUUCCCAAUAAAUUUCGUAACGCGUUCGGUAACUAGAUAGAGGAAUUUGUUUUGCAACGGCUCUCGAAAGAUAUGCCGUUCAGUUAGAUGCGCUUCGAAAUCCAUCGAAAGAAAGCUGUUCUCGUCAAUUUGCUUCCGAGUAUGCGCGUAUAAGGUGUGUACAGUGUCAAGAAUGGUAGUUAUUACGCGCUAAGAUAUAUACGCCGGUUUAUGUAUACACGAUAAGACACACAUUGCACGUAAACUUAAUGGUUUAGAUAAAAUCGCAAUAAGUAAGGUAUAUAACUGACAUAUAUAUAUAUAUAUAUAUAUAUAUAUUAACUGACACAUAUAUAUAUAUAUAUAUAUAUUCAUAUAUGUACGUGUAAAACUGUCACAGGUCACUAUAAAAUAGGUGAAAUGCAUAUCACAUACGUAUAGAGUAUGCUUUCGUUACAUUUUUCCUUAUCGCCGACAAUAUUCGCUAGCGUUAUUUCGCGAGGCGGAAUUUAUUCGUCGCACAUACAUGCAGGCACGUGUAAGCAAAGUUUAAUCGCGCUUCUCGAUAGUUUAAUCGCGCUAGUAUUUCACGGAAGUAUUUUGACGUAAUUAUCAAGAAAAGGCUCGUGCGUAAGCAAUCAGGAUAUGAGUAUCAACCGCAAAUUAAGGGUGACCAACAGGAGGAGGCAGGAAACCACAUUGAAAUGAGAGCCUAACUCAUAUAUAAACAUAUGUGCCACAAUCGUCAAAGGAGCCAGUCGUUUAUUAGCGCGUCGAAUAACACGAAAGCGCUUGCAAGGAGAAGCGAAGAUAUUUCAUACGAUUUCACAUUCGCCACAUUUAAAUUAAUUUAAAACCCAAGACUACUCGAGAGAGAGAAAGAGAGAGAGAGAGAGAACAUCGUUCUUAAUAAUGGCACCGACGCGUCUGUUACUGCUGAUUCUCGUGUCGCUGAUGUUGGUAUUCGCGAGUGAGGGGAGACCGCUGACUUUUCCACGGAGAAACCCGUCGCAGACGAAGUGCCCACCAGGCUAUAGGCACACUCGUACCGGAGACUGCAGAGAAGUUCUGACGUAUUGAAAAGGCGAGAAUGGGGUACAAAGGCCACGGGACGUACUCAAAGAUGCCGGAUUAACUACAAGCGAUAUCGGAUGUAACAAAGUGAUUAUUUUCUUUAUUAAUUAUAAUGUACCAGUUACAAAUAAACAGUGUAUAAUCUUGAGUAA
Dinoponera quadriceps is the source of this 2299-nucleotide long non-coding RNA. RefSeq lists it as uncharacterized. The record is from RefSeq and is a predicted model, not a curated record. The transcript is spliced from 3 exons. Lineage: Eukaryota; Metazoa; Arthropoda; Insecta; Hymenoptera; Formicidae.